GUUUUUGGUGACAAGACCUGGAGAUAUCAGAAGUGAGAAUGCUGACAUGAGUAACGAGAAAUCCUGUGAAAAACACGAUCGCCUGCCAGUGGAAGGCUUUCUGCGUUCAGUCAAUCUACGCAGAGUGAAUCGGUCCCUAAGGAACCCCCGAAAGGGCUGCCGUCCGAUGGGUACACGAAAGUGACGAAGUUGCUUUGACUACUGAACCAUGCCUGGAUCGUCGGAGCGAAUUGGAUGAUCGGGCCGAGGGCUGCCCCCUCUUCCCCUCGCUCUCCUUUCCUUAAUAUUCACCGUCGAGUCAUCAAAGCCGUCAACUAAUUCAGAGGGGCCCGG
RNAcentral lists this ribosomal RNA (333 nucleotides) under Triticum aestivum (bread wheat). RNAcentral's name for it is "partial small subunit ribosomal RNA". It matches the Rfam family "Bacterial large subunit ribosomal RNA", at positions 1256 to 1570 of the family's 2925-position model. Lineage: Eukaryota; Viridiplantae; Streptophyta; Magnoliopsida; Poales; Poaceae. The record is from RNAcentral.